RNAcentral lists this ribosomal RNA (462 nucleotides) under Acinetobacter sp. 15(2010). Its description in RNAcentral is "bacterial SSU rRNA". It matches the Rfam family "Bacterial small subunit ribosomal RNA", at positions 467 to 929 of the family's 1533-position model. The record is from RNAcentral. Lineage: Bacteria; Pseudomonadati; Pseudomonadota; Gammaproteobacteria; Moraxellales; Moraxellaceae.
AGUGGACGUUACUCGCAGAAUAAGCACCGGCUAACUCUGUGCCAGCAGCCGCGGUAAUACAGAGGGUGCGAGCGUUAAUCGGAUUUACUGGGCGUAAAGCGUGCGUAGGCGGCUUUUUAAGUCGGAUGUGAAAUCCCUGAGCUUAACUUAGGAAUUGCAUUCGAUACUGGGAAGCUAGAGUAUGGGAGAGGAUGGUAGAAUUCCAGGUGUAGCGGUGAAAUGCGUAGAGAUCUGGAGGAAUACCGAUGGCGAAGGCAGCCAUCUGGCCUAAUACUGACGCUGAGGUACGAAAGCAUGGGGAGCAAACAGGAUUAGAUACCCUGGUAGUCCAUGCCGUAAACGAUGUCUACUAGCCGUUGGGGCCUUUGAGGCUUUAGUGGCGCAGCUAACGCGAUAAGUAGACCGCCUGGGGAGUACGGUCGCAAGACUAAAACUCAAAUGAAUUGACGGGGCCCGCACAAG